UUAACUACUAUGAUAGAGAAGAGUAGAUAGAUAUAAAUGUUACAGCGAGUCAGGGAUGGUGAAAGCCUGAUACCUACGAUCUAUUGAAGAUCAUCUCUUAGUAGUCGGCCUGAAGAAUCAGUAGGGUUGACCGGUAGCAGCCGUUAUUUGUCUGGAGAUAGGGAUAUUGAAGAUCAGUAUCUCUAACUAGGGUGGUACCGCAAGCUAUGCCUUGCCCCUGAU
RNAcentral lists this non-coding RNA (222 nucleotides) under Acetohalobium arabaticum. RNAcentral describes it as "T-box sequence". It matches the Rfam family "T-box leader". Rfam says of the family: Uncharged tRNA acts as the effector for transcription antitermination of genes in the T-box leader family. T-boxes are found upstream of many aminoacyl-tRNA synthetase genes and some amino acid biosynthetic genes usually in Gram-positive bacteria. The anticodon of a specific tRNA base pairs to a specifier sequence within the T-box motif, and the NCCA acceptor tail of the tRNA base pairs to a conserved bulge in the T-box antiterminator hairpin. The record is from RNAcentral. Lineage: Bacteria; Bacillati; Bacillota; Clostridia; Halanaerobiales; Halobacteroidaceae.